GAUGAACGCUGGCGGCGUGCCUAAUACAUGCAAGUCGAGCGAACGGACGAGAAGCUUGCUUCUCUGAUGUUAGCGGCGGACGGGUGAGUAACACGUGGAUAACCUACCUAUCAUACUGGGAUAACUUCGGGAAACCGGAGCUAAUACCGGAUGAUCUUUUGAACCGCAUGGUUCAAAAGUGAAAGACGGUCUUUCUGUCACUUAUAGCUGGAUCCGCGCUGCAUUAGCUAGUUGGUAAGGUAACGGCUUACCAAGGCAACGAUGCAUAGCCGACCUGAGAGGGUGAUCGGCCACACUGGAACUGAGACACGGUACAGACGGCUACGGGAGGCAGCAGUAGGGAAUCGUCCGCAAUGGGCGAAAGCCAGACGGAGCAACGCCGCGUGAGUGAUGAAGGUCGUCGGAUCGUAAAACACUGUUAUUAGGGAAGAACAUAUGUGUAAGUAACAGGGCACAUCUUGAAGGUAAAUAAGCAGAAAGCCACGGCUAAAUAAGUG
This 497-nucleotide ribosomal RNA is filed under the name uncultured bacterium. RNAcentral's name for it is "partial 16S ribosomal RNA". It matches the Rfam family "Bacterial small subunit ribosomal RNA", at positions 28 to 507 of the family's 1533-position model. The record is from RNAcentral.